GAUGAACGCUGGCGGCGUGCCUAAUACAUGCAAGUCGAGCGAACGGACGAGAAGCUUGCUUCUCUGAUGUUAGCGGCGGACGGGUGAGUAACACGUGGAUAACCUACCUAUAAGACUGGGAUAACUUCGGGAAACCGGAGCUAAUACCGGAUAAUAUUUUGAACCGCAUGGUUCAAAAGUGAAAGACGGUCUUGCUGUCACUUAUAGAUGGAUCCGCGCUGCAUUAGCUAGUUGGUAAGGUAACGGCUUACCAAGGCAACGAUGCAUAGCCGACCUGAGAGGGUGAUCGGCCACACUGGAACUGAGACACGGUCCAGACUCCUACGGGAGGCAGCAGUAGGGAAUCUUCCGCAAUGGGCGAAAGCCUGACGGAGCAACGCCGCGUGAGUGAUGAAGGUCUUCGGAUCGUAAAACUCUGUUAUUAGGGAAGAACAUAUGUGUAAGUAACUGUGCACAUCUUGACGGUACCUAAUCAGAAAGCCACGGCUAACUACGUGCCAGCAGCCGCGGUAAUACGUAGGUGGCAAGCGUUAUCCGGAAUUAUUGGGCGUAAAGCGCGCGUAGGCGGUUUUUUAAGUCUGAUGUGAAAGCCCACGGCUCAACCGUGGAGGGUCAUUGGAAACUGGAAAACUUGAGUGCAGAAGAGGAAAGUGGAAUUCCAUGUGUAGCGGUGAAAUGCGCAGAGAUAUGGAGGAACACCAGUGGCGAAGGCGACUUUCUGGUCUGUAACUGACGCUGAUGUGCGAAAGCGUGGGGAUCAAACAGGAUUAGAUACCCUGGUAGUCCACGCCGUAAACGAUGAGUGCUAAGUGUUAGGGGGUUUCCGCCCCUUAGUGCUGCAGCUAACGCAUUAAGCACUCCGCCUGGGGAGUACGACCGCAAGGUUGAAACUCAAAGGAAUUGACGGGGACCCGCACAAGCGGUGGAGCAUGUGGUUUAAUUCGAAGCAACGCGAAGAACCUUACCAAAUCUUGACAUCCUCUGACCCCUCUAGAGAUAGAGUUUUCCCCUUCGGGGGACAGAGUGACAGGUGGUGCAUGGUUGUCGUCAGCUCGUGUCGUGAGAUGUUGGGUUAAGUCCCGCAACGAGCGCAACCCUUAAGCUUAGUUGCCAUCAUUAAGUUGGGCACUCUAAGUUGACUGCCGGUGACAAACCGGAGGAAGGUGGGGAUGACGUCAAAUCAUCAUGCCCCUUAUGAUUUGGGCUACACACGUGCUACAAUGGACAAUACAAAGGGCAGCGAAACUGCGAGGUCAAGCAAAUCCCAUAAAGUUGUUCUCAGUUCGGAUUGUAGUCUGCAACUCGACUAUAUGAAGCUGGAAUCGCUAGUAAUCGUAGAUCAGCAUGCUACGGUGAAUACGUUCCCGGGUCU
Molecule: ribosomal RNA, 1372 nt
Filed under: uncultured bacterium
Lineage: Bacteria
Description: bacterial SSU rRNA
Rfam family: Bacterial small subunit ribosomal RNA
Source: RNAcentral